GGGGUUGACACGGAUUUGACAGCAUGUAGAGGUGGUACGUAAGCAUGCAGAGCGUUGAUGGCUGGCUCUUUAAUAUCGGCUCUCAAGCAAUUUAUCUGGCGAAAACAACUACGCUCUCGCUGCGUGAUCGAAGAUCAGUAGAUCAGCGCUUAAUUCCUUCACCAGGUGAGGGAACGAGACAUCGCCCUGACAGCUCUUGUUCCGAGGCGGUCAGAUCAGCGGUGCGGCAAAUUCGGAAAUAGUUGCGGCAGGCCUCAAUGUCGUAAUGAAAUUUUAGAGGAUAAGGAUGGAUUUGGUAGUCCGGGUCUUGAUUCAUCUCGAAAAUCUAAACCGGAAUAAGCAUGUAGAAAGCGUAUGGCUUCCUUGUUUGGACGAGGGUUCGACUCCCUCCAGCUCCAC
RNAcentral lists this transfer-messenger RNA (399 nucleotides) under bovine gut metagenome. It matches the Rfam family "transfer-messenger RNA". From Rfam's summary of the family: Bacterial tmRNA, also known as 10Sa RNA or SsrA, is named for its dual tRNA and mRNA-like properties. Its role is to liberate the mRNA from a stalled ribosome. The record is from RNAcentral.